Molecule: long non-coding RNA, 1407 nt
Organism: Equus quagga
Lineage: Eukaryota; Metazoa; Chordata; Mammalia; Perissodactyla; Equidae
Exons: 4
Source: RefSeq, a predicted model, not a curated record
GAAAAAGAUGGGAAAAUCAAGCUCCUACCAUGCCCAGAAAUAUAAUUGAUGCCUUAUAAAUUUACACCUAACUGCCCAAGUCUUAUAAAUACCAGAAAUAAGAAACAAUAGGAUUUUACCCCAAUUUAGAAAUAUCAUUUAAAACCAAUCUAGUACCUUCUUCCCUUCCCUCCCCCAAGAGGUAUAAUUCUAUUGUUUAGAUUAUAACUAGGGGGAGGGGAAUGAAGCUAUUUCAUGGAAGAAGUAGAACCUCAUCUCAUUUUAAAAAUAGCAUAAUGCCUUCAUGAAAUUAUUAAGCUCAUCACCCAUGUCAACCGGGAUUAUAAAUGACUACAUUGUGGAAUGACUGAAUUAAUGACACACUGUAUUUCUCCUAAGAAAAGAUUUUGACAUUCAUCAAGUGAACAUAAAAAGAUGGGCUGGUAUGCCAUUAUCACCCUGCCCGUGAAAUCCAGCCGGCUCGAGCUGUCCUGGAGUACCCAUCAAUCACCAACACUGAGGACCACAGCUCUUCUCCCUGGCAGCCUGGCUGGCCAGGCAGGUGGCAAAGCCCGAGAGCGUGGCAUUUCUGUCAAUAAACAAGGUGGCAUGUCACUCUCAACAUGUCACUUACUACCUCUGUCACGCCUGGCUUCUAAAAAUGCAACAGCCAGGAAGCAGAUGGAUUACAUCUUUUGGGAGCCUUGUAAACUGGCUGUGAAUAAGAAGGAAGAGUGUGGGCUGGUCCUAGUUGGUUGAGAGAAGUUCUAAGUUUUGAACAGGGCUGAAAAGGGACGUCAAGGAAAAAAGUGAAGUGUCUAAGAGGUGGAGAAAGACACAGAAGACUAACAAGGCAGGUCAAGAGCGGAGGACAGAAGCUGUUGCCUUUUCACACAGGGAGUUGGACCCUUGGAGAGCUGUGUCUCUGCAGUGGCCCCGGGGAAGGUGUACAUUUCUGUCUAGCUCAUUCCCAAGGCUGAGCUUAAGGAUUUCUCAAGAAAACCUUUGCUAACCUAGACUGUAGUGCUCUCUGCUUCUCCUCAACAUCUGCACCAGAUUUCCUUGAUGACAAAUGUCAAGCAAGUGACGCCUUUUAUCACUUCCAGUGGGGGAGUCUCACUCCGCCAGGAGCAGCAGUCCUGGGAUGUCAACACACUCCAUGGUUUGAGGUCACCAAGAAAGACACUACUCACACAGGACCAACCAGAGAAAGCCAAAUAUGCUCCCCAAACCGAUCACAUAAGAUGCCGUGUUUCCGGUUAGCCUGCUACCAGCUUCCCCGUGCCAACAGCCUUUAAUCAGAGCACUCCUGAAGCCAUCUCUUUUCUUAUACUAUAAAGCUUUUCCCUUCCCCUGCCUGCCUCUGAGUCUCGGGCAAAUGCCAGUGAAGGUGGGUGAUUCCCUUGCUAUAGCCAGCUCUGAAUAUAU